AGUGAACGCUGGCGGUAGGCCUAACACAUGCAAGUCGAACGGCAGCACAGUAAGAGCUUGCUCUUACGGGUGGCGAGUGGCGGACGGGUGAGGAAUACAUCGGAAUCUACUUUUUCGUGGGGGAUAACGAAGGGAAACUUACGCUAAUACCGCAUACGACCUACGGGUGAAAGCAGGGGAUCUUCGGACCUUGCGCGAUUGAAUGAGCCGAUGUCGGAUUAGCUAGGUGGCGGGGUAAAGGCCCACCAAGGCGACGAUCCGUAGCUGGUCUGAGAGGAUGGUCAGCCACACUGGAACUGCGACACGGUCCAGACUCCUACGGGAGGCAGCAGUGGGGAAUAUUGGACAAUGGGCGAAAGCGUGAUCCAGCCAUACCGCGUGGGUGAAGAAGGCCUUCGGGUUGUAAAGCCCUUUUGUUGGGAAAGAAAAGCAGCAGGUUAAUACCCCGCUGUUCUGACGGUACCCAAAGAAUAAGCACCGGCUAACUUCGUG
Molecule: ribosomal RNA, 492 nt
Filed under: uncultured bacterium
Lineage: Bacteria
Description: partial 16S ribosomal RNA
Rfam family: Bacterial small subunit ribosomal RNA
Source: RNAcentral